This 2866-nucleotide ribosomal RNA is filed under the name Ensifer meliloti. Its description in RNAcentral is "Sinorhizobium meliloti 23S ribosomal RNA". It matches the Rfam family "Bacterial large subunit ribosomal RNA". Lineage: Bacteria; Pseudomonadati; Pseudomonadota; Alphaproteobacteria; Hyphomicrobiales; Rhizobiaceae. The record is from RNAcentral.
GAUCAAGUGAAAGAAGGGCAUUUGGUGGAUGCCUUGGCAUGCACAGGCGAUGAAGGACGUGAUACGCUGCGAAAAGCCGUGGGGAGCUGCGAAUGAGCUUUGAUCCAUGGAUCUCCGAAUGGGGCAACCCACCUUAGAUGCUUGGAAAAUCAUUUUGGUUGGCAUCUGGUCCCGAAGCCGUAAGGCUUCGCAAGGCCAGAGGCCGUCGCCGGUUAUCCGGCGUCAAGAAACCAAAGUGGUUUCCAAGCAUUGUUGAAAGGUAUCUUAUUCUGAAUACAUAGGGAUAAGAAGCGAACGCAGGGAACUGAAACAUCUAAGUACCUGCAGGAAAGGACAUCAACCGAGACUCCGCAAGUAGUGGCGAGCGAACGCGGACCAGGCCAGUGGCAAUGAGGAAUAAAGUGGAACGAUCUGGAAAGUUCGGCCGUAGCGGGUGAUAGCCCCGUACACGUAGAACACUCAUUGUCCUUGAGUAAGGCGGGACACGUGAAAUCCUGUCUGAACAUGGGGAGACCACUCUCCAAGCCUAAGUACUCGUGCAUGACCGAUAGCGAACAAGUACCGUGAGGGAAAGGUGAAAAGCACCCCGACAAGGGGAGUGAAAUAGAACCUGAAACCGGAUGCCUACAAACAGUCGGAGCCCGCAAGGGUGACGGCGUACCUUUUGUAUAAUGGGUCAACGACUUAGUGUGGCAUGCAAGCUUAAGCCGGUAGGUGGAGGCGUAGCGAAAGCGAGUCUGAACAGGGCGCUUUAGUAUGUCGCAUUAGACCCGAAACCGAGUGAUCUAGCCAUGAGCAGGUUGAAGGUUGGGUAACACCAACUGGAGGACCGAACCCGCAUCUGUUGCAAUAGAUUGGGAUGACUUGUGGCUAGGGGUGAAAGGCCAAUCAAACUCGGAAAUAGCUGGUUCUCCGCGAAAACUAUUUAGGUAGUGCGUCGACCGAAUACCCUCGGGGGUAGAGCACUGGAUGGGCUAUGGGGACUCACCGUCUUACUGAUCCUAACCAAACUCCGAAUACCGAGGGAGUACUAGUCGGCAGUCAGACUGCGGGUGAUAAGAUCCGUAGUCAAAAGGGAAACAGCCCAGACCGCCAGCUAAGGUCCCAAAGUGUGUAUUAAGUGGAAAAGGAUGUGGAGUUGCUUAGACAACUAGGAUGUUGGCUUAGAAGCAGCCACCAUUUAAAGAGUGCGUAAUAGCUCACUAGUCGAGUGACUCUGCGCCGAAAAUGUAACGGGGCUGAAGCCAUGCACCGAAGCUGAGGAUACGUCGUAAGACGUGUGGUAGCGGAGCGUUCCGUAAGCCAGUGAAGGGAUACCCGUGAGGGGUCCUGGAGGUAUCGGAAGUGCGAAUGUUGACAUGAGUAACGAUAAAGAGGGUGAGAGACCCUCUCGCCGAAAGACCAAGGGUUCCUGCUUAAAGUUAAUCUGAGCAGGGUUAGCCGGCCCCUAAGACGAGGCGGACACGCGUAGUCGAUGGGAACCACGUUAAUAUUCGUGGGCCUGGUGGUAGUGACGGAUUGCUCAACUUGUCCGGACUUAUUGGAUUGUCCGGGCGGGGACGCGGUUCCAGGAAAUAGCUCCACCGUAUAGACCGUACCCGAAACCGACACAGGUGGUCAGGGUAGAGUAUACCAAGGCGCUUGAGAGAACUCUGGUUAAGGAACUCGGCAAAUUGCACGCGUAACUUCGGAAGAAGCGUGACCCUUUUCUACGCAAGUAGGAUGGGGUGGCACAGACCAGGGGGUAGCGACUGUUUAUCAAAAACACAGGGCUCUGCGAAGUCGCAAGACGACGUAUAGGGUCUGACGCCUGCCCGGUGCUGGAAGGUUAAGGAGAGGGGUUAGCGUAAGCGAAGCUCUGAACUGAAGCCCCAGUAAACGGCGGCCGUAACUAUAACGGUCCUAAGGUAGCGAAAUUCCUUGUCGGGUAAGUUCCGACCUGCACGAAUGGCGUAACGACUUCCCCGCUGUCUCCAACAUAGACUCAGUGAAAUUGAAUUCCCCGUGAAGAUGCGGGGUUCCUGCGGUCAGACGGAAAGACCCCGUGCACCUUUACUAUAGCUUUACACUGGCAUUCGUGUCGGCAUGUGUAGGAUAGGUGGUAGGCUUUGAAGCGGGGACGCCAGUUCUCGUGGAGCCAUCCUUGAAAUACCACCCUUAUCGUCAUGGAUGUCUAACCGCGGUCCGUCAUCCGGAUCCGGGACAGUGUAUGGUGGGUAGUUUGACUGGGGCGGUCGCCUCCGAAAGAGUAACGGAGGCGCGCGAUGGUGGGCUCAGAGCGGUCGGAAAUCGCUCGUCGAGUGCAAUGGCAUAAGCCCGCCUGACUGCGAGACUGACAAGUCGAGCAGAGACGAAAGUCGGGCUUAGUGAUCCGGUGGUUCCGCAUGGAAGGGCCAUCGCUCAACGGAUAAAAGCUACCCCGGGGAUAACAGGCUUAUCUCCCCCAAGAGUCCAUAUCGACGGGGUUGUUUGGCACCUCGAUGUCGGCUCAUCGCAUCCUGGGGCUGGAGCAGGUCCCAAGGGGUUGGGCUGUUCGCCCAUUAAAGCGGUACGCGAGCUGGGUUCAGAACGUCGUGAGACAGUUCGGUCCCUAUCCGUCGUGGGCGUAGGAAAUUUGAGAGGAGCUGUCCUUAGUACGAGAGGACCGGGAUGGACGCACCGCUGGUGUACCAGUUGUCCUGCCAAGGGCAUAGCAGGGUAGCUAUAUAUGGAAGGGAUAACCGCUGAAGGCAUCUAAGCGGGAAACCCACCUGAAAACGAGUAUUCCCUUGAGAACCGUGGAAGACGACCACGUUGAUAGGCCGGGUGUGGAAGUGCGGCAACGCAUGAAGCUUACCGGUACUAAUCGUUCGAUUGGCUUGAUCGU